CACGUAGGGCGCAAGCGUUGUCCGGAUUUAUUGGGCGUAAAGCGCGUGUAGGCGGCCACACAGGUCCGCUGUGAAAACUCGAGGCUCAACCUCGAGCUGUCGGUGGAAACCGUGUGGCUAGAGUCCGGAAGAGGAGACUGGAAUUCCCGGUGUAGCGGUGGAAUGCGCAGAUAUCGGGAGGAACACCCGUGGCGAAGGCGGGUCGCUGGGACGGUACUGACGCUGAGACGCGAAAGCGUGGGGAGCGAACAGG
Molecule: ribosomal RNA, 253 nt
Filed under: uncultured bacterium
Lineage: Bacteria
Description: partial 16S ribosomal RNA
Rfam family: Bacterial small subunit ribosomal RNA
Source: RNAcentral